CAGACUGUAAAUCUGCCGUCAUCGACU
This 27-nucleotide small RNA is filed under the name Salmonella enterica subsp. enterica serovar Kentucky str. CDC 191. RNAcentral's name for it is "RtT RNA". The record is from RNAcentral. Lineage: Bacteria; Pseudomonadati; Pseudomonadota; Gammaproteobacteria; Enterobacterales; Enterobacteriaceae.